UACGGGAGGCAGCAGUGGGGAAUAUUGGACAAUGGGCGCAAGCCUGAUCCAGCCAUGCCGCGUGAGUGAUGAAGGCUUUAGGGUUGUAAAGCUCUUUUGUCCGGGACGAUAAUGACGGUACCGGAAGAAUAAGCCCCGGCUAACUUCGUGCCAGCAGCCGCGGUAAUACGAAGGGGGCUAGCGUUGCUCGGAAUCACUGGGCGUAAAGGGCGCGUAGGCGGCCAUUUAAGUCGGGGGUGAAAGCCUGUGGCUCAACCACAGAAUUGCCUUCGAUACUGGAUGGCUUUGAGUUCGGUAGAGGUUGGUGGAACUGCGAGUGUAGAGGUGAAAUUCGUAGAUAUUCGCAAGACACCGGUGGCGAAGGCGGCCAACUGGACCGACACUGACGCUGAGGCGCGAAAGCGUGGGGAGCAAACAGGGAUUAGAUACC
Molecule: ribosomal RNA, 430 nt
Filed under: uncultured bacterium
Lineage: Bacteria
Description: bacterial SSU rRNA
Rfam family: Bacterial small subunit ribosomal RNA
Source: RNAcentral